RNAcentral lists this unclassified non-coding RNA (269 nucleotides) under plant metagenome. Its description in RNAcentral is "partial contains small subunit ribosomal RNA, internal transcribed spacer 1, and 5.8S ribosomal RNA". The record is from RNAcentral.
UUUCCGUAGGUGAACCUGCGGAAGGAUCAUUAAUGAGUUGUCAUGGGGUACGAUGCUGGCAGCCAAUUUUUGGAUGCAUGUGCUUGCCCUAACAAUCAUCUUCCAAACACCUGUGCACAUUUUUGAGGGAGUCUUGAGUUGGUUGCCGCUCUUGAGUGAUUUUCUCACAUUCCCUUAAAUCAUUAUACGCUAUUAACAAUGUUGAACGUGCUCUGUGCCGCAAGGCUAUUAAUAUAAUACAACUUUUAACAACGGAUCUCUUGGCUCUC